RNAcentral lists this ribosomal RNA (335 nucleotides) under uncultured eukaryote. RNAcentral describes it as "bacterial SSU rRNA". It matches the Rfam family "Bacterial small subunit ribosomal RNA", at positions 9 to 407 of the family's 1533-position model. The record is from RNAcentral.
GAGUUUGAUCCUGGCUCCGGAUGAACGCUAGCAAUACACUUAACACAUGCAAGUCGAAUGUUAAUAACAUGGCGAACGGGUGAGUAAAAAGUAAGAAUCUGCCGUAUAACUCGGAAUAAUUAAAAAUACCGAAUAAAAAGACUUAAUGUCGUUAUAUGAUGAGCUUGCUUAGGAUUAGGUAGUUGGAAAGGUAAAAGCUUCCCAAGCCGAUGAUCCUUAGUUGAUCUGAGAGGAUGAUCAGCCACAUUGGGACUGAGNCAAGGCCCAAGCUUUAGCCUGCAGUGAGGAAUAUUGGACAAUGAGCGAAAGCUUGAUCCAGUGAUAUUGCGUGAAUG